RNAcentral lists this transfer RNA (70 nucleotides) under Heterotarsus carinula. Its description in RNAcentral is "tRNA-Trp". The record is from RNAcentral. Lineage: Eukaryota; Metazoa; Arthropoda; Insecta; Coleoptera; Tenebrionidae.
AAGGAUUUAAGUUAAAAAAACUAACAGCCUUCAAAGCUGUAAAUAGAAAUAGGUCUUUCUAAGCCUUGCC